GGUUUGAGAACAACCUGGAACACAUCAUAUAAUGAAUAGGCUCUAUCUUCCUUGCCUGGAAGGUUUUCAGAGUUCACCAUGUGUCAACACAUAUGCAUCUGUGGCUUCAUGGAUGUACCCUAUUCUCCAAUGGUAGAGGAAAAACAGUGAAGAUGAUUCUGCAUCAUGUUAUGUAGGCACCAUCCUGAAGGUGACAGCUUCAGCUCUACAGCCCUUUCCCAGGAUAUUCCUGAAGAAGAGUGGUAAAGAGA
Molecule: long non-coding RNA, 251 nt
Filed under: Fukomys damarensis (Damara mole-rat)
Lineage: Eukaryota; Metazoa; Chordata; Mammalia; Rodentia; Bathyergidae
Description: lncRNA (ENSFDAG00000022065.1)
Source: RNAcentral